Molecule: long non-coding RNA, 1403 nt
Organism: Apis laboriosa (Himalayan honeybee)
Lineage: Eukaryota; Metazoa; Arthropoda; Insecta; Hymenoptera; Apidae
Exons: 3
Source: RefSeq, a predicted model, not a curated record
AUCACGCGUACUCUCUGUAGUGAGAGUAAUAAAUUGUUACAAUUUGAAACUUUCGUGUAUUUUUUAAUGUAAAAACACUUCAAAUGCAGAACUGAGUGUAAACGCGAUGUUCAAAAUUUUAUUACGGAUGUUCAAUGGUAUUAUAUAUCAUGGAUACUACUGGUAGUAAUUAAUCUUGACCUAGAUGAAUAUAAGAAUAUUGCAGAAUUUCCAGUUGAACGAUAUUUAAUGUUUAAUCAUUAUAAUAUUGUAUACAUAUACGUAAGAGAAAUAUCAUGCAGCUGAUAUUCGAUAAAUAUAGAAGAAAAAAGAUAAAAAUGAACGAAAGAGAUGAUAAUAUUCUUCGGAAGAAUAACAAGAGGAACUCCAUUGAAAACUACCAGGUACAUAAUAGCCGCAUUCGUCCAAUCGACAAAUUUCUCAGAUGCAGUUGUAACGACAAAUACAAUAGCGAUGAAAACAACAGUGUCUGGAUCACUCUAGAAUUAAUUCAAUGCGAGUGAUGAAUCAAAGGGCGAAUGAAAACCAGGAAAAUCUCGAGGACCAUGGAAGACGUCAUUAAUUUCUUCGGACGAAAGAUGCAAGAUGCACAAAUCUCGUUGGAUGAAGCAUCUUUUUCAUUUGAUGAAACGCUGAGUUUGUUCUAUCACCACUCGAGGAUAAAGUAGUUCCGAAUUAUAUAGGCUAGAUAUUAUUCGUCCUCGUCUCCUCGUGGCUAUAAGUUUCUCGGACUCUAUUUCAUCACGGGACUGGCUUAAAUUGCACUCGCGCGUCAUCCAUGCGAUUUUUGAAAAGUUCCUUCGUCCGGCGGUUGUGUAAUUAAAAUAGACCGUAUCUCGAACAAAGCGGAAUUUUUAACGAGUUAUUUUUACGAGAUAACUCCGACUUCUCCGUUUUUCAAUGUAGGCGAACUUCCCUUUAAUGCAUUAUUCCAUGAUUCGAACGUAUGAAUUACGGUGAAAGCGGAGAUUCGAAAUACACCACUGUCUUAAUUAACUAGCUACAAAGAAACGAUCGUAUAUGGUAAUGAUUGAGUAUAUAAAGCUUACACGUAAUGGAUUGGAUUCAUAACGAAGCGUGAACUGAAUAAAAAUUUUAAUUAUUUUUAUAAUGUAAAUUCUUCCUUUUUUUUCUCGAAAUUGCCAUACAAAUUUAUAUCAAUUUUGUAAUUGCGAAUGUGUUUCUCUUUUUAGAUGUAAUCUACGUACUUCGUGAUAUGUCGCCUGCAGCUAUGCAAUCCUCAUUACACGAUGUAUUGAUACAAGUGAAAGUAUUUCGCAUAAAGAUUUUAUGCGCCUCGAAUUAUUUUGAUAAAUAUUUGUCUGUGGAGAGAGAUUCAGUAUUUUUAAAAUAUCAAGAAAUUUAAUUUCAAGAACUUGUGUAUCAUAUAUCACUAACGUCUG